This 240-nucleotide ribosomal RNA is filed under the name uncultured bacterium. RNAcentral describes it as "partial 16S ribosomal RNA". It matches the Rfam family "Bacterial small subunit ribosomal RNA", at positions 95 to 334 of the family's 1533-position model. The record is from RNAcentral.
CCGGCGCACGGGUGAGUAACGCGUAUGCAACUUGCCUAUCAGAGGGGGAUAACCCGGCGAAAGUCGGACUAAUACCGCAUGAAGCAGGGAUCCCGCAUGGGAAUAUUUGUUAAAGAUUCAUCGCUGAUAGAUAGGCAUGCGUUCCAUUAGGCAGUUGGCGGGGUAACGGCCCACCAAACCGACGAUGGAUAGGGGUUCUGAGAGGAAGGUCCCCCACAUUGGUACUGAGACACGGACCAA